GUACUCACUUCGGCAGCACAUAUAUACUAAAAUUGGAACCACACAGAGUAGAUUAGCAUGGCCCCUGUGCAAGGAUGACACACAAAUUGGUGAAGCGUUCCAUAUUUUU
Molecule: small nuclear RNA, 109 nt
Filed under: Saimiri boliviensis boliviensis (Bolivian squirrel monkey)
Lineage: Eukaryota; Metazoa; Chordata; Mammalia; Primates; Cebidae
Source: RNAcentral